Molecule: long non-coding RNA, 1770 nt
Organism: Gasterosteus aculeatus aculeatus (three-spined stickleback)
Lineage: Eukaryota; Metazoa; Chordata; Actinopteri; Perciformes; Gasterosteidae
Source: Ensembl
GUAAAAUGAACAAAUAUUUUUUUGAGUCAUUCGUUCAUUUCAAGAUAAAUUCCUACAUUAAAAUAAUGUAUCAUGACAGUCUGGAUGAUUUGAAGUAAUCAUUUAUUUUCACACUAGCAUUCAAUUAUCACGGCAUAACUAUUACGCUGAACUAUAAGUAAAGUACAAAAAAGUUAAAAUAACAAAACCUGUAAUUAUUACUUGUGAAAGAAUAUCAUUCACGUCUUACUAAACCUAGCCACGCGAAAAUGAACGAUGUAAACAAAUCCUUUCUGUUUCCUCUUCUGAGCGCAGGUCACGUGAAAAAUGAUCCUAAGAUCCGUAUCCGAAGACCCAGUCAAAAUGAACGAAUCAGUUCUGGUUUCUCUAGCUACCAGUGCUGAGCCUCUGCAGGUCACGUGAAAAAUCUGUAUCCGGCAGAUGAACGAAUCGUUCACCUCCCGACCGUGUCUUCGGGUCAAUAAUUCGUUCAUCGUUUUCAUUUUCACGGCGUUUACGUGCGUUUACCCUCCACUACAGCCCUGCUUGGAACGAUUCGUUCAACGACACAUCACUACUUUCUGCAGUAGCGGACACAUUUGUCCCGUAUUUUCCUCCAGAACUUUGGGCACCUCUCGACCGGCAAACCGGCGCUUACGGACAUCUCCCUCCGUGAAUCCAACCCGCCAAUGACGGCUUGUAUAAGCGGUCAUAUUUACGCAUUUAUUCCGACAAAAGUUCUUAAAUCUGAUCCGUUCUCUCGUAAACAUUCUUCGUUUUAAUAAUGGCGGUAUCGUGCUAUGAAAGCGGAAAUGUGAGACUCCGUAAAGGACGUAGUUAGCGGACCAAUCGCAGCCUGGUGCGCUGCGGGAGGCUUGCGUUGCUUGCGUCGCUUUUGACGCAAGCCUAGAAAAAUGGCUCGACGCAGGGAGGUGUGAAAAGGAGCGUUGACGGGCUGCAGCGUGGAGGUUCAUUGAGUCUCUGAUUGACAGAGUGGGAGAGAAGAUGUCGUCUGUCGUCCAGCAGCAGAGAACAAACAGACAUUCAUGACUCUGCAGUUGCACUUGACUGCGUCAUUAGAGACGCUCACACGUCCCGUUGAACUCGUUGAGCUUGAAUUUGUGUUAUUUGUGGAGAAUUGAAUUUGUUUUAUUUGUGAAGAAUUAAAUUUGUUUUAUUUGUGGAGAAUUGAAUUUGUUUUAAUGGUGGAGAAUUGAAUUUGUUUUAUUUGUGGAGAAUUGAAUUUGUUUGUGCUUUGAGUUGCCUGACUUCAUUCUUUAGAAACAUUCAUGUUUUAAUCAAAAUGUUCCAUAGAGGAAGAAGUAGAGGAACACAUGUUCAUCUACUUUAAAUAUUCUCUUCUUUUGCCGUUAUUCUAAGACAAGAUGUUUUAUUACAGGAAGAAGAGAGUCAACAAUUCAAAUCAGGCUCAAAGUGUCGACUCACACCUGCGUGUGUCAUUCAAUUUAUUCAAGUCAACAAAUAACAAAGAACAUGAGAUUUUCUUUGGUUAUCAAAAUGUAUUUAUUAUUGUUUAGAUAAUAAUCACAUGAGAUUACUUACAUGAUACAAUAACACACAUACAAACAAUAACAAUAAUACAACACAAUGAUUGGGGGGAAAUCUGAAGGAGUUCCUGAGAAGAAAGAAAAGAAGUAGUUAUUGACAUGUUAAUGUCGUUAGUGUGUCUGUGUGUAGAACAAAAUGUUAGUUUGUCUAUGUGUACAUCUAAAUGUUAAAUGAUCUAUGUGUAUCUCAAUAUUAAUGUGUCUAUGUGUACAUCUCAAUAUU